RNAcentral lists this ribosomal RNA (277 nucleotides) under unidentified eubacterium 37SW-1. RNAcentral's name for it is "partial 16S ribosomal RNA". It matches the Rfam family "Bacterial small subunit ribosomal RNA", at positions 202 to 497 of the family's 1533-position model. Lineage: Bacteria; Pseudomonadati; Pseudomonadota; Alphaproteobacteria; Rhodobacterales; Paracoccaceae. The record is from RNAcentral.
AUACGCCUUCGGGGGAAUGAAGGNCAGCCCGCGUCNGAUUAGGUAGUUGGUGAGGUAAUGGCUCACCAAGCCUACGAUCNAUAGCUGGUUUUAGAGGAUGAUCAGCCACACUGGGNCUGAGACACGGCCCAGACUCCUACGGGAGGCAGCAGUGAGGAAUCUUAGACAAUGGGCGCAAGCCUGAUCUAGCCAUGCCGCGUGUGUGAUGAAGGCCUUAGGGUCGUAAAGCACUUUCGCCAGAGAUGAUAAUGACAGUAUCUGGUAAAGAAACCCCGGC